AAAUUGAAGAGUUUGAUCAUGGCUCAGAUUGAACGCUGGCGGCAGGCCUAACACAUGCAAGUCGAACGGUAACAGGAAGCAGCUUGCUGCUUUGCUGACGAGUGGCGGACGGGUGAGUAAUGUCUGGGAAACUGCCUGAUGGAGGGGGAUAACUACUGGAAACGGUGGCUAAUACCGCAUAACGUCGCAAGACCAAAGAGGGGGACCUUCGGGCCUCUUGCCAUCAGAUGUGCCCAGAUGGGAUUAGCUUGUUGGUGAGGUAAGGGCUCACCAAGGCGACGAUCCCUAGCUGGUCUGAGAGGAUGACCAGCCACACUGGAACUGAGACACGGUCCAGACUCCUACGGGAGGCAGCAGUGGGGAAUAUUGCACAAUGGGCGCAAGCCUGAUGCAGCCAUGCCGCGUGUAUGAAGAAGGCCUUCGGGUUGUAAAGUACUUUCAGCGGGGAGGAAGGUGUUGUGGUUAAUAACCGCAGCAAUUGACGUUACCCGCAGAAGAAGCACCGGCUAACUCCGUGCCAGCAGCCGCGGUAAUACGGAGGGUGCAAGCGUUAAUCGGAAUUACUGGGCGUAAAGCGCACGCAGGCGGUCUGUCAAGUCGGAUGUGAAAUCCCCGGGCUCAACCUGGGAACUGCAUUCGAAACUGGCAGGCUUGAGUCUUGUAGAGGGGGGUAGAAUUCCAGGUGUAGCGGUGAAAUGCGUAGAGAUCUGGAGGAAUACCGGUGGCGAAGGCGGCCCCCUGGACAAAGACUGACGCUCAGGUGCGAAAGCGUGGGGAGCAAACAGGAUUAGAUACCCUGGUAGUCCACGCCGUAAACGAUGUCUACUUGGAGGUUGUGCCCUUGAGGCGUGGCUUCCGGAGCUAACGCGUUAAGUAGACCGCCUGGGGAGUACGGCCGCAAGGUUAAAACUCAAAUGAAUUGACGGGGGCCCGCACAAGCGGUGGAGCAUGUGGUUUAAUUCGAUGCAACGCGAAGAACCUUACCUGGUCUUGACAUCCACAGAACAUUCCAGAGAUGGAUUGGUGCCUUCGGGAACUGUGAGACAGGUGCUGCAUGGCUGUCGUCAGCUCGUGUUGUGAAAUGUUGGGUUAAGUCCCGCAACGAGCGCAACCCUUAUCCUUUGUUGCCAGCGGUCCGGCCGGGAACUCAAAGGAGACUGCCAGUGAUAAACUGGAGGAAGGUGGGGAUGACGUCAAGUCAUCAUGGCCCUUACGACCAGGGCUACACACGUGCUACAAUGGCGCAUACAAAGAGAAGCGACCUCGCGAGAGCAAGCGGACCUCAUAAAGUGCGUCGUAGUCCGGAUUGGAGUCUGCAACUCGACUCCAUGAAGUCGGAAUCGCUAGUAAUCGUGGAUCAGAAUGCCACGGUGAAUACGUUCCCGGGCCUUGUACACACCGCCCGUCACACCAUGGGAGUGGGUUGCAAAAGAAGUAGGUAGCUUAACCUUCGGGAGGGCGCUUACCACUUUGUGAUUCAUGACUGGGGUGAAGUCGUAACAAGGUAACCGUAGGGGAACCUGC
This 1524-nucleotide ribosomal RNA is filed under the name Salmonella enterica subsp. enterica. Its description in RNAcentral is "bacterial SSU rRNA". It matches the Rfam family "Bacterial small subunit ribosomal RNA". RNAcentral also lists the same sequence under 1 other name. Lineage: Bacteria; Pseudomonadati; Pseudomonadota; Gammaproteobacteria; Enterobacterales; Enterobacteriaceae. The record is from RNAcentral.